GAUGAACGCUGGCGGCGUGCCUAAUACAUGCAAGUCGAGCGAACAGAUGAGGAGCUUGCUCCUCUGACGUUAGCGGCGGACGGGUGAGUAACACGUGGAUAACCUACCUAUAAGACUGGGAUAACUUCGGGAAACCGGAGCUAAUACCGGAUAAUAUAUUGAACCGCAUGGUUCAAUAGUGAAAGACGGUUUUGCUGUCACUUAUAGAUGGAUCCGCGCCGCAUUAGCUAGUUGGUAAGGUAACGGCUUACCAAGGCAACGAUGCGUAGCCGACCUGAGAGGGUGAUCGGCCACCCUGGAGCUGAGCCACGGUCAAGACUCCUACGGGAGGCAGCAGUAGGCAAUCUGCCGCAAUGGGCGAAAGCCUGACGGAGCAACGCCGCGCGAGUGAUGAAGGUCUUCGGAGCGUAAAACUCUGUUACUAGUGAAGAACAAAUGUGGAAGUAACUAUGCACGUCUUGACGGUACCUAAUCAGAAAGCCCCGGCUAACUACGUG
This 497-nucleotide ribosomal RNA is filed under the name uncultured bacterium. RNAcentral's name for it is "partial 16S ribosomal RNA". It matches the Rfam family "Bacterial small subunit ribosomal RNA", at positions 28 to 507 of the family's 1533-position model. The record is from RNAcentral.